AGAUGCAGGAAUAGCAAAUGGCUGACAAACUGUGAAUGAAGUUGUCGCCGAAAAUCCUCGGUCAGAUGAAGGUAGAGCGAAUGCCGGUCAAGUGGUCGUCUUAAAUGUGUUGUCAGUGGUUCCACUACCUGCAAUGCCGGUUGCAAGUGAAUUCCACGCAAGAGAAAGUACAUUUCCAUAUAUGGUUGUAUCUGGUGCGAGUGCAAAAAAUCGUAUUGGCAGGGCACGGAUCGGAACAACUACCUUUGUGUUUAACAGAAUGUCCCCGCAUACUUACUUAUGAAAACUGACCAAACUGCUGCCUUACGUACCGUUUGAAACUGUUAUGACAUAAUAUAUCAAAAUAACCGAGACUUUUAUGUAUUUCACCUAGAAACCAUCACAAUAUAUGCCAUUAUACAUAAGUAAUAAGGGUUUAAGUUAUUAUCAGUAUUUUAAUCAGCGUUUAUUUUUUGUUUCCAAUGCCACUUUGCUUUAAAUGAGCUUUACACUAAAAAUAUACCAAUCGACGUACAAUUUUAUUUUUUAGACAAGUAUAGAGUGUUUAUAAUGAAAAAUUGUUGGAUAAUUAAAAAUAUAAUUUUGUCGCACGUGAAAUAAAAUUCUGUCAUUCUUAAAUCUAAUUAACAAUUCAUUAUUAUUAGGUAUGUAUCGGGAUAUAAAAGCAAGCACCAGAAAAAAAUAUGCUGCCUUCUGAAUUAUAAGUAUACACUUAAGGACUAGUAAACAUCUGUAAUGUAUGAAUAUGUG
Long non-coding RNA from Mya arenaria, 750 nucleotides. RefSeq lists it as uncharacterized. The transcript is spliced from 4 exons. Lineage: Eukaryota; Metazoa; Mollusca; Bivalvia; Myida; Myidae. The record is from RefSeq and is a predicted model, not a curated record.